Molecule: ribosomal RNA, 1414 nt
Filed under: metagenome
Description: bacterial SSU rRNA
Rfam family: Bacterial small subunit ribosomal RNA
Source: RNAcentral
AAAGGGUGCGUAACACGUGGGCAAUCUGCCGAGAAGUGGGGGAUUGCUCGUCGAAAGGCGAAUUAAUACCGCAUGUGGCCAAGGAAGACAUCUUUCUGACGCCAAAGCCGGGGCAACCUGGCGCUUCUUGAUGAGCCCGCGGCCUAUCAGCUAGUUGGUGAGGUAACGGCUCACCAAGGCUAUGACGGGUAGCUGGUCUGAGAGGACGACCAGCCACACUGGAACUGAGACACGGUCCAGACACCUACGGGUGGCAGCAGUCGAGAAUUUUUCUCAAUGGGCGAAAGCCUGAAGGAGCGACGCCGCGUGGAGGAUGAAGGUCUUCGGAUUGUAAACUCCUGUCAUUAGGGAACAAAACUUACGGUUAACUGCCGUGGAGUCUGAUAGUACCUGAAGAGGAAGAGACGGCUAACUCUGUGCCAGCAGCCGCGGUAAUACAGAGGUCUCAAGCGUUGUUCGGAUUCAUUGGGCGUAAAGGGUGCGUAGGCGGCGGGGUAAGUCGGAUGUGAAAUCCCGGGGCUCAACCCCGGAACUGCAUUCGAUACUGCCUUGCUAGAGUACUGGAGAGGAGACUGGAAUUUACGGUGUAGCAGUGAAAUGCGUAGAUAUCGUAAGGAAGACCAGUGGCGAAGGCGAGUCUCUGGACAGUUACUGACGCUGAGGCACGAAGGCCAGGGGAGCAAACGGGAUUAGAUACCCCGGUAGUCCUGGCAGUAAACGGUGCAUGUUUGGUGUGGGAGGAUUCGACCCCUUCCGUGCCGGAGCUAACGCGUUAAACGUGCCGCCUGGGGAGUACGGUCGCAAGAUUAAAACUCAAAGAAAUUGACGGGGGCCCGCACAAGCGGUGGAGUAUGUGGCUUAAUUCGAUCCACGCGAAGAACCUACCUAGCCUUGACAUGCAUCUCUAAGUCGGUGAAAGCCGGCGAGUGUAGCAAUACACAAUUUGCACAGGUGCUGCAUGGCUGUCGUCAGCUCGUGUCGUGAGAUGUUGGGUUAAGUCCCGCAACGAGCGCAACCCCUGUGAACUGUUGCCACCGGCCCUCGGGCCGAGCACUCUGUUCAGACUGCCCUGUGAAACGGGGAGGAAGGUGGGGAUGACGUCAAGUCAGCAUGGCCCUUACGGCUAGGGCUGCACACGUACUACAAUGCUCAGCACAGAAUGAACCGAUACCGCGAGGUGGAGGAAAUCUCUAAAACUGAGCCCAAUUCGGAUUGAAGGCUUCAACUCGCCUUCAUGAAGCCGGAAUCGCUAGUAAUGGCGUAUCAGCUACGACGCCGUGAAUACGUUCCCGGGCCUUGUACACACCGCCCGUCACAUCAUGGAAGUUACUUGUACCCGAAGUGCAUGCGCCAACCGCAAGGAGGCAGUGCCCUAAGGUAUGAGUGGUAACUGGGAUGAAGUCGUAACAAGGUA